GUGCCACUUUAGAAGCACAUAUACUAAUGAUUGGGAAGAUAUAGAUAAUAUUCGCAUGGGCCCUGUGCAACGAAGACAUGCAAAUUUGUGAAAUGUUCCACACAAAA
This 107-nucleotide small nuclear RNA is filed under the name Neotoma lepida (desert woodrat). Lineage: Eukaryota; Metazoa; Chordata; Mammalia; Rodentia; Cricetidae. The record is from RNAcentral.